This 433-nucleotide ribosomal RNA is filed under the name uncultured bacterium. RNAcentral describes it as "partial 16S ribosomal RNA". It matches the Rfam family "Bacterial small subunit ribosomal RNA", at positions 29 to 507 of the family's 1533-position model. The record is from RNAcentral.
AACGAACGCUGGCGGCAUGCCUAACACAUGCAAGUCGAACGAGACCUUCGGGUCUAGUGGCGCACGGGUGCGUAACGCGUGGGAACCUGCCCUUAGGUUCGGAAUAACUCCCCGAAAGGGGUGCUAAUACCGGAUAAUGUCUUCGGACCAAAGAUUUAUCGCCUUUGGAUGGGCCCGCGUUGGAUUAGCUAGUUGGUAGGGUAAAAGCCUACCAAGGCGACGAUCCAUAGCUGGUCUGAGAGGAUGAUCAGCCACACUGGGACUGAGACACGGCCGAGACUCCUACGGGAGGGAGCAAAGGGGGAUGGUGGACAAUGGGGGAAAUGAUGAUGGAGCUCUGCCGGGAGAGUGAUGAAGUCGUUAGGGAUGUAAAGCUCUUGUAACCGGGAAGAUAAUGACGGUACCGGGAGAAUAAGCUCCGGCUAACUACGUG